Non-coding RNA from Alexandromys fortis (reed vole), 378 nucleotides. The record is from the annotation of a RefSeq genome assembly. NCBI's taxonomy places the organism in Eukaryota, Metazoa, Chordata, Mammalia, Rodentia, Cricetidae.
AUGAAACUGUUUGAUCUUCUUUACCUGGUGACAGCCCUUCCUGGUGGAAUUCUGUCCCAGAUUCAGCUUCAGGAGUCAGGACCUGGCCUGGUGAAGCCGUCACAAUCACUGUCCCUCACCUGCUCUGUCAAUGGUUACUUCAUUACCAAUGGCUACUACUGGAGCUGGAUCAGACAGUCCCCAGAGAAGAAGUUGGAGUCGAUAGGGUACAUCAAUAGUGGUGGUAGUCCUUAUUACAACCCGUCAUUUAAGAGCUGCACCUCCAUCACAAGAGAAACAUCCAAGAACCAGGACUUCUUGAAGCUGAACUCUCUCACCACUGACGACACAGUCACAUAUUACUGUGCAAGAGACACAGUGUGGGAAUUUCAGCAUUAG